This 481-nucleotide ribosomal RNA is filed under the name uncultured bacterium. Its description in RNAcentral is "partial 16S ribosomal RNA". It matches the Rfam family "Bacterial small subunit ribosomal RNA", at positions 29 to 523 of the family's 1533-position model. The record is from RNAcentral.
ACGAACGCUGGCGGCGCGCCUAACACAUGCAAGUCGAACGAGUGAGAGGGAGCUUGCUCCCUCAAGCGAGUGGCGAACGGGUGAGUAACGCGUGAGGAACCUGCCCCAAAGAGGGGGACAACAGUUGGAAACGACUGCUAAUACCGCAUAAGCCCACGACCCGGCAUCGGGUUGAGGGAAAAGGAGCAAUCCGCUUUGAGAUGGCCUCGCGUCCGAUUAGCUAGUUGGUGAGGUAACGGCCCACCAAGGCGACGAUCGGUAGCCGGACUGAGGGGUUGAACGGCCACAUUGGGACUGAGACACGGCCCAGACUCCUACGGGAGGCAGCAGUGGGGAAUAUUGCACAAUGGGGGAAACCCUGAUGCAGCGACGCCGCGUGGAGGAAGAAGGUCUUCGGAUUGUAAACUCCUGUUGUUGAGGAAGAUAAUGACGGUACUCAACAAGGAAGUGACGGCUAACUACGUGCCAGCAGCCGCCGUAA